Podarcis raffonei (Aeolian wall lizard) is the source of this 74-nucleotide non-coding RNA. Lineage: Eukaryota; Metazoa; Chordata; Lepidosauria; Squamata; Lacertidae. The record is from the annotation of a RefSeq genome assembly.
GCCUGGGAUAGCUCAAUUGGUAAAGCGUGAGACUCUUAAUCUCAAGGUCGUGGGUUCGAGCCCCACGUUGGGCA